GGCUCUUUGACGUUAGUAUAUAAAGAGUCGUGUCUGCCCAGUGACUAAUGUUUAACGGCCGCAGUACCCUGACUGUGCAAAGGUAGCAUAAUAAAUUGUCUUAUAAUUGAAGACUUGCAUGAAUGACUUGACGGAGCAGACCUGUCUUAAACAUACUAUUUAAAAAUUAUAUUUUAAGUGAAAAUACUUAAAUAAAAUUGGAGGACGAGAAGACCCUAUCGAGCUUUAAAAAAAUUAUUUUAAAAAAAUUAUUAAAAAUUUAAUUUAAUAUAAGUUAUUUUAGUUGGGGCGACUGAGGGACAUUAAAAGCUCCCUUAUUAAAUUUAAAUUAUGUUUUUUGAUCCAGUAAUUACUGAUACUAAGAAUUAGUUACCGUAGGGAUAACAGCGUAAUUUCUUUUAUAAGUUCGUAUUAACAAAGAAGCUUGCGACCUCGAUGUUGAAUUAGGAUACCAUAAGGGUGUAGCCGCUUUUGAGGUUGGUCUGUUCGACCAUUGAAAUCCUA
RNAcentral lists this ribosomal RNA (504 nucleotides) under Pseudopomatias maasseni. RNAcentral describes it as "partial 16S ribosomal RNA". It matches the Rfam family "Bacterial large subunit ribosomal RNA", at positions 1817 to 2598 of the family's 2925-position model. The record is from RNAcentral. Lineage: Eukaryota; Metazoa; Mollusca; Gastropoda; Architaenioglossa; Pupinidae.